Long non-coding RNA from Toxorhynchites rutilus septentrionalis, 362 nucleotides. RefSeq lists it as uncharacterized. Lineage: Eukaryota; Metazoa; Arthropoda; Insecta; Diptera; Culicidae. The transcript has 3 exons. The record is from RefSeq and is a predicted model, not a curated record.
UGUAGCAACGCACCUUCAAACCAGCUAUAAGGUCUAACUGACACACUCAAACCUUGUUUUGAUCAAACCUUAAAAUUAGUUCGCUUAGUCGGUUGACAAGUAGAAAAAAUUACAAUAGAUAGUGGAAAAACGUGGCUUGAUUACUAAAGUGGUUUCUGAAUUCUUUAUAUCCAAUUUAUAAAUUUCUUUGAAUUACUGUAUCCUAUUCCGUUUGAAGCUUGAAGUGUAGGUUGAUUGAUUGUCUCCACUUAUAUUCCGUGAGGUCGUGCGAGAUACUCGAAUUUGAGGUGUACCUAUUCAGGUUCCAUUCAAUAUAGUUCAGGGAACGAAUGCAACGAAUUCCACGAAACCCACAAACGUAA